AUUGAACGCUGGCGGCAUGCUUUACACAUGCAAGUCGAACGGCAGCACGGGCUUCGGCCUGGUGGCGAGUGGCGAACGGGUGAGUAAUAUAUCGGAACGUACCCAGAAGUGGGGGAUAACGUAGCGAAAGUUACGCUAAUACCGCAUACGAUCUAUGGAUGAAAGCCGGGGACCGCAAGGCCUUGUGCUCCUGGAGCGGCCGAUAUCUGAUUAGCUAGUUGGUGAGGUAAAGGCUCACCAAGGCGACGAUCAGUAGCUGGUCUGAGAGGACGACCAGCCACACUGGAACUGAGACACGGUCCAGACUCCUACGGGAGGCAGCAGUGGGGAAUUUUGGACAAUGGGCGCAAGCCUGAUCCAGCAAUGCCGCGUGAGUGAAGAAGGCCUUCGGGUUGUAAAGCUCUUUUGUCAUGGAAGAAACGGUAGAGGCUAAUAUCCUUUGCUAAUGACGGUACCUGAAGAAUAAGCACCGGCUAACUACGUG
RNAcentral lists this ribosomal RNA (484 nucleotides) under uncultured bacterium. Its description in RNAcentral is "partial 16S ribosomal RNA". It matches the Rfam family "Bacterial small subunit ribosomal RNA", at positions 30 to 507 of the family's 1533-position model. The record is from RNAcentral.